AUUGAACGCUGGCGGCAUGCUUUACACAUGCAAGUCGGACGGCAGCGCGGGCUUCGGCCUGGCGGCGAGUGGCGAACGGGUGAGUAAUACAUCGGAACGUGCCCAGUAGUGGGGGAUAGCUCGGCGAAAGCCGGAUUAAUACCGCAUACGAUCUGAGGGUGAAAGCGGGGGACUUUAGGGCCUCGCGCUAUUGGAGCGGCCGAUGGCAGAUUAGCUAGUUGGUGGGGUAAAGGCCUACCAAGGCGACGAUCUGUAGCUGGUCUGAGAGGACGACCAGCCACACUGGGACUGAAACACGGCCCAGACUCCUACGGGAGGCAGCAGUGGGGAAUUUUGGACAAUGGGCGCAAGCCUGAUCCAGCAAUGCCGCGUGUGUGAUGAAGGCCUUCGGGUUGUAAAGCACUUUUGGCAGGAACGAAAAGUGCCGUGCUAAUACCACGGUACGAUGACGGUACCUGCAGAAUAAGCACCGGCUAACUACGUG
RNAcentral lists this ribosomal RNA (484 nucleotides) under uncultured bacterium. Its description in RNAcentral is "partial 16S ribosomal RNA". It matches the Rfam family "Bacterial small subunit ribosomal RNA", at positions 29 to 507 of the family's 1533-position model. The record is from RNAcentral.